Molecule: non-coding RNA, 1812 nt
Organism: Macaca mulatta (Rhesus monkey)
Lineage: Eukaryota; Metazoa; Chordata; Mammalia; Primates; Cercopithecidae
Source: RefSeq, a predicted model, not a curated record
CGCCCCCUCUACCGCCUGGGAAAGGGCUGCCCCCACCUUACCCCCUUCCCUCUCACUCCUUACCCCCGCGCUCCCAGUGCCCACCCAUUUCCGCAGGUGCAAGAGUCUGGAGCAUGAGUGCGCUUCUGGCUGCCCCCUCCUAGCCUUGACUCAGCACUGCUGGACCCAUCUAGUCCGUUCCUGGCACUGGCGGACUGGAGGCUCCGGGCAGCACAACCACCAACUCGUGUGUGCGUGUGUGUGUUGGGGGUGCGGGGUGGGGGGCACAAAACCACUAACGUGUGUGUGUGUGUGUGUAUGUAUGUUUCUGUCUCCCAAGGGAACAGCACUGCUGAGUUCAGGCUGAGUUCAGUCCUCGUGGACUGUAAGCAAAAUACACUCACAAGAAGGCUAUGUGCUGUUUUGUCUUUUGCAGUGACAUCAUGUUUGCAGUGACAUCAUGUGGCUCAUGUUUUAUGUUUUUCAGAGUUCAUUAGUUUCUGUUUGUUCUCAGUUAAUAUCCAGCUCAAUAGAUUGUCACCAACCAUGUGCCUAGAGCUAACUGUGUCAAGAAGAGCAUACUUCAAUUGGCUGGAGUGAGCAAUUCAACUUGUGGAGGAAUGAGAAAUGAUAGUGUUGAGACAAGAAACAUAAAAACCCAGGGCCUCUCUCUUCCUCUCUGUCCUUUCAGCUGCUACUCACACUGGUGGUGACGGCUUCCACGGAGGAGAACGCAUCCUCCUUAUCUUCUGUGAACCUCCUCUUGCAUCUCCCCAAAGUGCUUUACAAGCAAACUACAGCACUGCCAGCUUUGGGGUGGCCAUAACUCAUUUUAUGCUGGCCACUGAGCUCCCCUCCAUGGUUGCAUUGUUGACAUGGAGCAGAUUCUGCUUCAUUGCCUGAAAUGAUUCCCCCUCCAAAACCACCACUCCACCUGCAUACACAAAUGACUGAAGAUUUCUUUCUCCGAGAAAACCUACAAACUCCAAAUUGUUAGAUAAAUGAAAUGGAGACCAAAUUACAAAAGCAGGUAAUUGGCUGUGAUCCAUGUGAAAUAGCUGUGGAAACAAAACUGAAGACCAUCUAGUGCCUUCUGAAAUUGGCCUUAAUUAAGAUGCUUUUACGAAGCUGGGAAAAGGCAGGCAGCAGCUCAGGAUCUUUAGUGCCACAAAAUAAUGGAAAGGCCUUUAACCUCUGAAAGGGAUACCAGGAGCAGGCAGGGCAUUAUCCUCUUCUUUGAACCAUGAGAGGACAUUUUACAACCUCUGCCAAGAUGCCUCGAUUCAAAUUAAAAUUCAAGUGGUUUUGCCAGUCCCUCCUCCAAGUGAGAAGUACAUACCUCCUCUUAAAGCCAUAGGAAAGGCAUUGGAGAGAACUGGCUGUCUUCUCAUUUUGGACAUGAGAAAGUGGGGCACAGAUCAGACAAGAACUGGCCAUAAGUCACACCUGGGGACUCAAAGCUUAAAGUCAGAGCUCUGUAUCAUAACGAGUGGCCCUUGCUUGGGUGCCUGGGAAAGGGACGUACCAAACAGAGCAAAGAAACCUGCAACUGAUGGCAGCCUCCUGGGGGAACACACUGCUGGUGGUGGCAAAAGGACAGCAAGGGGCCUCGCAAUCAGAGGUGAGAGAGGACAGACCAGCACUGAAACUGAUGAGUCAACUGUGUUAGCAUGGUGCUGUUGCAUUGCAGAUGUUCUCUCUUUUAAUUAUCUCAACAAAUCUGGGUGAUUAAACCCAUUUCAUGGAUGAGAACAUGGAGGCUCAGAGACAGUAAGUAAGUUGUCUAAGGUGGUCUCAUUACAAGUUAGCUGUGCAGGCUGGGUACAGUGGCUC